This 399-nucleotide ribosomal RNA is filed under the name Vishniacozyma carnescens. Its description in RNAcentral is "partial small subunit ribosomal RNA". It matches the Rfam family "Eukaryotic small subunit ribosomal RNA", at positions 30 to 432 of the family's 1831-position model. The record is from RNAcentral. Lineage: Eukaryota; Fungi; Basidiomycota; Tremellomycetes; Tremellales; Bulleribasidiaceae.
GCUUGUCUCAAAGAUUAAGCCAUGCAUGUCUAAGUAUAAACAAAUUCAUACUGUGAAACUGCGAAUGGCUCAUUAAAUCAGUUAUAGUUUAUUUGAUGGUAUCUUGCUACAUGGAUAACUGUGGUAAUUCUAGAGCUAAUACAUGCUGAAAAGCCCCGACUUCUGGAAGGGGUGUAUUUAUUAGAUAAAAAACCUUCGCCUUCGGGCUCUUGGUGAUUCAUAAUAACUUCUCGAAUCGCAUGGCCUUGUGCCGGCGAUGCUUCAUUCAAAUAUCUGCCCUAUCAACUUUCGAUGGUAGAGUAGUGGUCUACCAUGGUAUCAACGGGUAACGGGGAAUUAGGGUUCGAUUCCGGAGAGGGAGCCUGAGAAACGGCUACCACAUCCAAGGAAGGCAGCAGG